Molecule: long non-coding RNA, 1011 nt
Organism: Acanthaster planci (crown-of-thorns starfish)
Lineage: Eukaryota; Metazoa; Echinodermata; Asteroidea; Valvatida; Acanthasteridae
Source: RefSeq, a predicted model, not a curated record
UACCAAAGCUCUGCGCGCUAAGUUUUGCCAUACUCGGCCCGGCAUGGUGGGUCAUGGUGGUACACUAUACAGUAGGCCUCUGAUGCAGUGCAUAAUUUUGUCAUUUAAGAUUGUACUUGUCCAGACCAUGGAGGAGGAACCUCAUUUUCAGUGAAACUGUGUCAUUGAUGCAAACUGUGUUAGCCUACCACAUGUAUUAAGCAUGGUGGCUUUGCAUCAUUGAUCAUGGAGAGGAAUACAGCUGGUCUCAACAUUGUACCUUGGGGAACCCAAGCAUGAACAGAUGAAUAUUUGUCACAGUUGGUCCCAGAGAUAAAAUGGUUGGGAUUGGGUUUUGAAAGUGUUUGUCUACUUGCUCUGCACCCAUGGUGAGUGGGGCAUCGACGAAGAAUAGAGGGUACAUUUACAUGUAGGUUAUGGAGCGGGAACUUAAAUUUCCUAUUGAUACAUGUUAGUCACAAGUAUUCACAACUGUACACAAGGUGCUCAUUGGAUGUGUCAAAGUCUUGUUGGGGACUGUAAUUCAGUCCUUCUGAACACGUUAUCCUUUUGAACACAUACACAAUUAAUAUUGCUGUCGGAGAUUCUGCAGCGAAAGAUAUACUGUUUCUUCUUCAAUGUAAUACUCAUGACUGAUCACUUCUUUCAGUUAAGAAUUAAAAGCCAAUUAGUACGCCAAUCAUGAACUGUUAACAUCAUCCUGAAAAAUUGCACAAUCUGAUUCUUGAGGAACUUGCUGAAAAAUGUUCAUGUCAUCAGCAAACACCAAACACUUGUUCAAAAUGCACUGACAAGGUAAAUCGUUAACAAGAAGAGAAUGCCAAAUACAGAACCUUGGGUGCACCUGAGGGAACUGGGUGCCAACUAGAACAAUGACCAUCAACCACCACUCAGUGUCUCCUGUCGGAUUCACGUGAUUAGCUAUGAGGUAAUUUUAGCAAAGAUUGAUGUAUAUUGUAAAUAGUAAUGUAAUGGACCUUUACUGCCAUCCGAGUGGUUUAUUAUUACUUG